RNAcentral lists this ribosomal RNA (900 nucleotides) under Triticum aestivum (bread wheat). RNAcentral's name for it is "partial small subunit ribosomal RNA". The record is from RNAcentral. Lineage: Eukaryota; Viridiplantae; Streptophyta; Magnoliopsida; Poales; Poaceae.
AUGCCACCUUCCGUGCACGACACGGAAGGCCUGCCGUUCAUGAAGCAUGGUUGUGUCUUCAGUGCGCACCACCGGAUGAACGACGUGCUGGGGCAUGCUAUCCCUGAUUUAUGCCGCGUCAGCUUGGAUGAGUCUCCAUCGUGUGGAACCGGACUAGAAAGCUGUGACAAUGAUUCCCGUUGCCCUCCGCUAUGGAUUGUGCCAUCCAUGAAGAACAACUGGGACUGGAACCUAGAGGAGGACAUUAGUACAAGUAGAAUUGAGAUUGAAUGCACUUUCUUCCCCGUCUUCCACUCUUCUUCCUCCUCUCUUCUUCUUCCUCCUCUCUUCCCCAUCGCCGGCCGCACACCAUUUACCCCUGCUCACUGCUCGCCCACCCACGCCAUCUUCCUUGGUAGCUCGCGCUCGAAGAAGGAUUGGCCGGUGCUGUCGGCUGGCGUCAAGUUCGAUCCCAUGGAUCAGGAGCUGAUCGAGCACCUUGAGGCCAAAGUGAGUGCUGACAGCGCGAGAUUUCAGUCUCUCAUCGAUUUGUUCAUACCAACCAUCGACAGCGAGCACGACAUAUGCUACACCCAACCUGAGAAACUUCCAGCGCAAUUCCAGGGCGUUCAAAAGGGGCGCGUGGACGCGUUGCAAGAUACAGUCGGAGUGCGGCAUGCACGCGAUGUGGCACAAGACCGGCAAUACCUUGCCGGUGAUGGUCAACGGCCGGCAGACGGGCAACAUAAAAAGGUUCUGGUGCUGCACACCAACAAGAACUUUGACCAGCAGAGGACCAACUGGGUGAUGCACCAGUACCACCUCGGGGACCUGGAGCAAGAGAAGGUGGGAGAGCUGGUCCUCUGCAAGAUUUUCUACCAGACGAACACUAGGGCCAGGAGUAAAAAGAUUAUAAGUUAG